GGUCACAGUGGGGGUGUAGGACCAGGAACUGGCAGGAGCACUGUAGCCCAGGCCCCUCAGAGGCACGCCCUCAGCCACACCUUCAUUUUCUGUGAUCUUAGUUUUGAGUGAGGAAUGCAUUUUGAUGUACCUUAAUUGUUCUUAAACGCAUAUUAAGGUCUGUUAUCCAGAAAUCUAUUCCACCUUUCCCUGAAGCCCUUGUAGGUUAGGUAUUGGCUUCAUAAGCUAUCCUUCCUGACCCUGGUGGCCAGUACGUAACUCCAGGUUAUUCCGUCUUUGUGCCUAUCCUGUCCCAGUGGACCUUGAGGCGUGGUCUCGCUUGGUCUCUGUGCUCUGCCAUCUUCGCAGUGGCAGCGCCGUCCUCUGAGAGCUCCCCUGGAAGUCCCUGGACCUUGGAAGCCUGGCGGGGAGUGGCCAGUGUCCAGGGAGUGGGAGGCAGCCCUUCUCUGCGGGCCUGUCACAAGCAAGGAAACCUUCCUAGAAGUGUCUAGCUGACUCUCUGCAGGUCUCCUUGGCCAGGAGUUGGUCAGGUGUCCCUUUAGCCAGGAGAAUGGGACUGUCCAGGCUGCUCAGCUGCAUCAGGAUUGAACUUGAUCCCUGGCAGAGGGGUGCACCCUACAGAACCUGCGCCUGCCAGCAGGGAGGGAGCUGUCGCUCCUGGGGCUGCAGUUCUGCCACCAGCCUUCCCAACCAGGACUCAGAGAACCUGGACCAUUAUAUUUCUCCAGUGCUGCAUCACAGGCAAAAUAUGUGUCCUUUUCUUUCUAUGUUAUGAUAAUUAGGGAAUGAGAAGCUGAUGACCUUGGGCCUCUAUUGCCCAUCAUCUGAGCUGGACCCAGCUGGGCCAUGUGCAGACCUUGCUCCCGAUAAAUUGGACCUUAGAGUCGGAAGCGUUAGUAAAGGCUUCCCUCUGUUUUACAAAGAGGGAAACUGAGGCUCAAGCUGCCGGGAGCGGGGGUGGGACCUUAUAGCUCCUUUAGCUGAAGCUUUGGGUGCCUCACAUCCUUCCUACUUUGGGGACUCCUAGUCUCCCUGCCCCAGGCAGUCACUGCUAUUGUGCACUUAAGUUUCUCUCUCUGUUAAAACCUCCUCGGGAGCUAAAGAACCAAAUAGCAGUCAUUUAUAGCCUAGCGCGAAUGUCAGAUAUUUCGCCCAAGUCUUCUCGAAUCCUUGAAAGGCAUUUUGAGCUUUAUUAACAGGUGUAGGGUGACUGGGGUAGUGGCCAGGAGACCUCGAAUUCUCUUCUGGGUCCUCUGUGUCUUGUCCCCAGGAGGUGUCUCUCCUGUGCUCUGUCUCCCGGGGGGCAGUCCCCCACAACCAUCCCAACAGCCACCGCUCGGGGACAAAGGGAAGAGCAUCCCGCCCCACCUGGCCUUGACCCUUCUUUUAACCGAAAAGUGUUUUGUGAGUAAACUCCAGGCUCUGCCGUCUCCCCCCAGGUCAGAGGUGAGGGGAGGCUCGCGGGCAACCGGCUGCAGCUCCCAUGGGGGCCCCAAGCCCCACAGGUGACGUCUGACACGUGCCCCCUCCCAGGCAGACGUCCCUCUCCAUGCGGAGAUGCCUUGUUUCUGGAAGUCGAAUGCAUGAUCCCAGAGACCCAGGAAGUGCUAUUUGUACUCCACACGUUUCCUUUAUUCUGUGCAGGAAGAAUCCUGGGGUCCCAUCAAAGUCCCCUAGAGUGUCUAGGAAGUGACUUGAUUGCCACUCUGAGGGUUGUUUGAAGCGAAGUGUGGAUAGUGUUUGCCCCAAAGCAGGGAUCCUCUGAGCUGUUCAGAUGGAAGCAGCAUUAGGGUGGAAAAGGGACAGGUGGGCUAAGAAGGUGGUGCCAGUGGCACACCUGACAACUUGUCUUGUGCCCCCCCCAUGCCACUCAAUGUGGCUUCAGGCCCACUCCUUCCAGUCCCAAGUGCUCUCAUCCCAGUGCUGUUGGCUUUCUGGCUGAGACUGCUCGUCAUUGGGGUCUGUUCCCCCCAUGGGGGCUCUAGAGCCUUGGCUGCCCCCCACUCAGUUCCCCAGCCAGGCUGGUGACAGCCAGGUGCCCCACUCCCUGCUGCCAGCCUCAGGGGACAUCCUGCUCAUGGGACACAGAGCUAGUUCAGGGUCAGGACUCUGGUGCCUGACCUGGUCCCAGGCUUGAGCCUGUCCUUGAUUUGCUCUGUUUUUAGGGCCAUUUUCUGAAUCUUCCUUAUGUCAUCCACCUGGACCCACACAGGUUCCCUCAACCGAUGGAGGGAGCAUGGGUGCCCCCGGACUUCUGUGGAUCCCGCAUCUCGGCAUCGAGUGUGUCCUCACAGCCGAGGGAUCACUGAGCAGAAUCCAGGCGGUGGGGGCCCCAUCCUGUAGGGUCUCCGUGUCAGGCCUGCCCCUCACCCAUCUCAGGGCCAGGCCUGGGCUCUGUUCCCAGGGCCCGGGCCACCGUGACGUCUGCAUAACACACUUCAAAGGGGCACAGGGCUGGGGAGGCCUGGCUGUUUCUUGGACAUCAAACAGCGCUUGCAAAAUAGUUAAUGACUUAUGAAUGAAUCAGAACCAGACGGAUUCAAUUUCCCCCAGAAUGCAUCCUGAAGACCUCUUACACAUACCCACCCCCGAGAACACUCAGCCCUCCCCGGGGAUGCGGUCUUGGCCACAGGGGCUGGGGGCUGGGGAAGCCAGUGUGCUUUUAGCCCAUGAGACUCCCCAGCUCCUCAUUCCUUCCUUUCUCCUGGUUGCCACUCUUCCUAGAAGGAGAUCACCCAUCAGAGCCCUGUCAAAGGGCUGAGUGACAUCAGACCAUGGGCUCUGUGGUUAGGCUGGGAGGCCGUGUAUAAGUUCAAGUCACUCUCCUGCCCAUCCGUCCUGGCGGUGGUCGGGUCUAAGUGUCACCUUGGGCCUCAUGCUCCACUGUCACCCUGGGCCUUGCCGCAGUCUUGCUUUUGGAGGAGGAGACAGAGACAGAGACAAAUAGAGAGAGACAGAGAAAGAGACAGUGACAGGGAGAGACAGAGACAGAGAUAGAGUGGGACAGAGACAGAGAGACAGAGAGACACAGAGAGAGAGGAACGGAGAGAGAGAGGGACAGAGAGAGGGGGAGAAAGACAGACAUAAAGAGACAGAGAGAGCGAGAAAGAGAGAGGGAGAGAGAGAGGGACAGAAGGAGACAGACAGGAGACAGACACAGACCGGGAAGUGAGUCCACGCUGCCCUGUGGUGUGGGUGUUUCGUAAGGUUUUUACUGGCUCCCAUCACUGUGUACAUAGGGCCCUAUUAGCAGUUGCUUGGCCAAGAAUAAAGAAUCUCUAAUUCUGUUUUAGAAAUACAAUUUAAGGAGCUGGAGUUUAAAAUAACUGUCCUGAGCUUCGGAAAACUCAUCUCUGGAAACCAUCCAUGGAAGGAUGUUUGUAUCCCCAGAGGGUCUCAUGGGGCAAAAAGCAAGUCAGAUUUUUCUGCAUUUCAGGCAGCGGCUCCUGAAAGGUGCCUCAUGCAUCUCCUUCAGACAGUGACUGCCUUGCUUUUGCGAGAGCCAGGGCCCCUCCAGUGCCCUCAGUCACAUUCUCAACUGCAACCAGAAGGUUUAAAAUCCAGUACUUUGAGUGCUGUAUACCCUCCAUGUGUGUCUGGUUCUGCUUUGUGGAAGCAGCUCGUGUCAGAGAUGCAGCAAGUCCAGCUCCUAAUGCUUAGUGCAGGGGAGGAGACGGGGAGACCGAUAACGCUGCCUUGUCUGCAGGGCAGCCCUGCCUUUUACUUUCAGCCCUUUCUAAAAAUGGCACAUGCAAAGUAAGAAAACAAGUUUAUCUGUUGCUGGGAGGAACACAGGCGGGAGAGGAGUCUAGUCUCCAGCUUGGUGUGAUUUUAUUUUUAUCUUUCACUUUUGCAGCAGAACAUCAGGGGCUAGUGCAAAGCCAGGUCGGCCUGGGCUUCAGGUAGCAUCAUCAGGGUCAUAGAGGUUGAUUUCACCUGGCCCGGGAUGGGGACCGUGUGAAGUUGGGGGUUGAGGAUGAGGAGACUCCUCCGUGGAGUCUCUUUAGAAAAGCCCAGUUGCGUGUGUCUUUGUAACUCAAGAAGACACCAACCCCCGACUGUCCUUCUCUUGAGGCGGUCAGUCAGUUCACAGGGCACUGGUCUGGGAUGUGGGCAGAUAAGCAGCCGGGCCUGCUCCAAGACCCCAGUCGUCCUGCAGCUUCUGCACUUGCCAUCCUGUCUCUGUGCUUCUUAUUUGCACAAGCUCAGGGUAGGGGGGUUGGAGGCAGGAACCAGCAUUUGGAUUCAUGGCUGGGCAAUCCAGAACAGUCGAAGAACCAGGAGAUAAUUUAUGUUUUGUUCUGGGUUACUUAUUUUUAUGGAGUGAUAGUGAGAGAAAUAAUGACUUUAGUUUCCUAAGUAUAAACUCCUUGCGCCGGUAUUAAAAUUCGCAGUUGUUUGCAUUUGCUGAGUGCAUAUCCGCUGUGGGGGAAGAGAACCCAAGGCAGAGUGUGGCAGGGGGUUGAGGGGGAGAAGCCAGGAAUUUAGGUGCUGCUGUGGCUUCUCUCAAAACAGAUUCUAACGACCACAGACUCUCCGAGUUACAUUAAUUGUACCUGAGAAAAAGUAGGCAGGUCGAUGUUUGAUGAAAUCCUGUUAUGAUUGCUUGCAAAGGAAGUUAUUGCCAACACAAUUCUGGAUUUUAACGGAUCUGAUCUGCUUAAAGCAUGAUGCACCCAUGCACACAAUAAGUCAGUGCUUGAGACGAGAGACCUGUUCAGGGAGUCAGACUUAGUUCUUGGAAUGCAGAGCUUGGCAUUUUAGAGAGAGGGUGCUUUGUCCUGCUCAGACUUUACUGCUGUUGGCAUCUUGCCAUCACCUGGAGUGUGGUCUCCGCUGUUUCUGAUCAGCUGCCCUCCUUCCUCUGCAUGCUUAUUGCGCGCUCUGCAUCUGGGGUGAUGCUUAAGCGGAGGUUAGGAAGGUGAACAGUUAGGUGUGAUUUCUGCCUUUGUGGAGCCUAAAGGCUGGCGGGAGACACUGGCAGAGGACACAGAACUGCUGGGCACCAGGCCUUCUCUCCUCUGAUGCUCUGAUGACAGGACCAACCUGGAAGACCCUGGAGCUGGUUCUGUCACCUGGCCCUUGGAGGUGUUUGCAAUUUCCCCAUGUUUUGUAUUGUUAGGGCACCUUACUUUUUGGAAUGAGCAUCACGAUGGCUCUGCUGGUAUCACAGUCGUAAAAGGAACCAUAAACCACCCAGUGCUGCCUCCCACGGCCGCACUCUUGGGGCUGGGGCCUCUUUAGGCAUUUUCCAAGAGGAACGGUCCAUGGGGCCCCUGCUACCUCCUGUUCUCAGAGAGCCAAGGAGUGGGGUGAGUUCCAGCUGCCUGGAGCCCCUGCUUCAGGGUGGAGGUGAGGUCGACCCUGGAAGUCAGUGCCUGGAGCCAAGGGGGCACCCCUACCCAGGCUCUGCGAGGCAGCCUCUCGGGACUGCUGGCUCUCUGCCUUUGGGCUGUAGCCGUCACCCCUGCCUGGUGUCCUGUCAGCGCGGCUCUAGGAGCAGCUGUGGGGGCUGCCUGGGAAGGAGGCGGCGAGCUUGCUGCUGGUUACACAUGGACAUGGAGACAUAGCGGCUUUAUUUUUAGGCUUCGCUAAUUCUCGCUCUCCUCCUAGUUCUCAGCUCCCUGGCAACAGCUUGUUGUCAUGGCAACGCCCAUGUUAAUGAGUGAGGCUCUCGGUGUGUCUGUUCCACCCCGGCCAGGACAGUGGUUCUGCCUGGAGCCCAGGAGAGGAUGGAGGGUUUAUAGUUUUGCUUACAUGGCCCUGAUGCCAUCUCGGUUUGCAGGCCUCUCCUCCAGCCGGGCCCGCAUGGUCUGCCUGGGGAUGCAGCUGGUCAUCAGGGCCUGGUCCUGAAUUCUCAAGGGAGGACACUUCCAACAAGUCCUGGGCGGCUCCUUCCACCCUGGACAUGGGCAGGGACCACUUCUUCGGUGCCUCCUCCCAGUCCCUGCUGCCUUGAAGGACUGGAUUAUAAUUCCCUUGAGGACGGAAGAGGCCUCGAAGUGCUUCCUACCUGCUUCCUCAUAUCAGCAUUCCUUCCAAGAAAGGCCCAGGCUCUUAAUGCACAAUUAGAGAUAAAAGGCUGAAACCGGAGGAGGUGAUGCUUGGAGUGGGCGUUUCUCAGUUGAAAUAUAAUCAGUCCAACAACUAGGAUAAUUGACUGGUUAUCAAACCAUUUUUGCUUUUGAUGGUAGGAAAGGAGAGAAGUUAUUUGCAAGGCAGAGAUUUUGUAAAUAAAGAGAAGAGCCACCACUCCAGGAAAGUUUAGAGCAGUGAUUCUCCCUCCUGCAAAAUUAUCUCGGGAGGGGCGUUCAAAACAUAUCCACUUCCUCUGCCUCAGCCCAGGGAUUGGAAUUCAGUGGGGCCCAACACCCCAAGAUGAUUGCCGUACUGGUUGAACCACUACAACCCAGUUGCAGUCAGAUUAAACCACUGAAAGAUGGAGGCAGACUUGCAGACCCCAGCAUGGAGUUCACUGUUUCUCAGGCCUGGACCAAUGGAAGACAUGUCCUAACUUUAACCUGCAGUGCUAUGUUCUGAAAUAUACAUCAGGAAUUGAGAAGUUUAGGUGC
This 6572-nucleotide long non-coding RNA is filed under the name Sus scrofa (pig). Its description in RNAcentral is "lncRNA (ENSSSCG00000060500.1)". Lineage: Eukaryota; Metazoa; Chordata; Mammalia; Artiodactyla; Suidae. The record is from RNAcentral.